GCAAAAGUCAAGGAAGAGCAAUUGAUUCUGAGACGUAUUCAGCAUUCUAUAUUUAGCAGCAACUUCGUCGUCAAUUUCGUGAGAGUGACAUUCACCAAUCACCUUAGUAACAAUUCUCAAAAUAAUAUCUUGAUGCUGAGAAGGUAGCUUCGAAAUAUUUGCCAAAACCAUAGGGGCCAUGUGCACCUUUUCCUUUGGACCUAGACGAUCAA
Molecule: unclassified non-coding RNA, 212 nt
Filed under: Hevea brasiliensis (rubber tree)
Lineage: Eukaryota; Viridiplantae; Streptophyta; Magnoliopsida; Malpighiales; Euphorbiaceae
Source: RNAcentral